Daphnia pulicaria is the source of this 523-nucleotide long non-coding RNA. RefSeq lists it as uncharacterized. Lineage: Eukaryota; Metazoa; Arthropoda; Branchiopoda; Diplostraca; Daphniidae. The record is from RefSeq and is a predicted model, not a curated record. The transcript is spliced from 3 exons.
CCUCAAAAAAAAUCCGAAUGCGAUUUUUUUUGUGGAAACCAUCUAGCGGUUGGUGAAGUAAGUAAACAUUGCAGAAGUUAAGAAUUGUGCGGAAUUUGCUGUCAAAACUCAAAAAUGGAAUGACGAAUGGCGUCUGCUUCUAUGAUUCAGUUAAAAGUGGUUGCCUGUGCCUGUGCUCUGCCCCGGCUCCAAGCUAACGUGCCCCUGCCUAAACUUCACUUCCGCGGCUCUACGUUGAAUGUGACUGUGUUGAAUGUUACGUGAUGAAGACAACAAAUAUUGCUUUGACUGUGAUGCCAAAGGACCAAGAUGGGCUUCAUGGAAUCUUGGAAUUUUCUUAUGUAUCCGUUGUGCAGGAUUUCAUCGGAACUUGGGGGUGCACAUAUCUAGAGUUAAAUCAGUCAAUUUAGACUCGUGGACCCCAGAACAAGUAGUUGUAAGUAUUAACAUUUUUUAAAUUUUGUAUCAUUAGUGUAAGCAUUAAAUUGUAUCUCAAUUUGACACUAUAGUAACACAAGUUUGA